This 739-nucleotide ribosomal RNA is filed under the name uncultured bacterium. Its description in RNAcentral is "bacterial SSU rRNA". It matches the Rfam family "Bacterial small subunit ribosomal RNA", at positions 8 to 727 of the family's 1533-position model. The record is from RNAcentral.
AGAGUUUGAUCAUGGCUCAGGAUGAACGCUGGCGGCGUGCCUAAUACAUGCAAGUCGAGCGAAUGGAUUAAGAGCUUGCUCUUAUGAAGUUAGCGGCGGACGGGUGAGUAACACGUGGGUAACCUGCCCAUAAGACUGGGAUAACUCCGGGAAACCGGGGCUAAUACCGGAUAACAUUUUGAACCGCAUGGUUCGAAAUUGAAAGGCGGCUUCGGCUGUCACUUAUGGAUGGACCCGCGUCGCAUUAGCUAGUUGGUGAGGUAACGGCUUACCAAGGCAACGAUGCGUAGCCGACCUGAGAGGGUGAUCGGCCACACUGGGACUGAGACACGGCCCAGACUCCUACGGGAGGCAGCAGUAGGGAAUCUUCCGCAAUGGACGAAAGUCUGACGGAGCAACGCCGCGUGAGUGAUGAAGGCUUUCGGGUCGUAAAACUCUGUUGUUAGGGAAGAACAAGUGCUAGUUGAAUAAGCUGGCACCUUGACGGUACCUAACCAGAAAGCCACGGCUAACUACGUGCCAGCAGCCGCGGUAAUACGUAGGUGGCAAGCGUUAUCCGGAAUUAUUGGGCGUAAAGCGCGCGCAGGUGGUUUCUUAAGUCUGAUGUGAAAGCCCACGGCUCAACCGUGGAGGGUCAUUGGAAACUGGGAGACUUGAGUGCAGAAGAGGAAAGUGGAAUUCCAUGUGUAGCGGUGAAAUGCGUAGAGAUAUGGAGGAACACCAGUGGCGAAGGCGACUU